Molecule: non-coding RNA, 107 nt
Organism: Capsicum annuum
Lineage: Eukaryota; Viridiplantae; Streptophyta; Magnoliopsida; Solanales; Solanaceae
Source: Rfam
UGGUGAUGGUCAGGGAAAUUUCUGAGCAUAGCCUUGAAUCUUUCCCAGGAUUGGUAAAGAAUUUCUCUAUUUUUUUACCUGAAACUCAAAAUGUCACUUCUCAAACA